This 427-nucleotide RNase P RNA is filed under the name Spirochaetota bacterium. RNAcentral's name for it is "Spirochaetes bacterium (freshwater sediment metagenome) RNase P RNA component class A". It matches the Rfam family "Bacterial RNase P class A". From Rfam's summary of the family: Ribonuclease P (RNase P) is a ubiquitous endoribonuclease, found in archaea, bacteria and eukarya as well as chloroplasts and mitochondria. Its best characterised activity is the generation of mature 5'-ends of tRNAs by cleaving the 5'-leader elements of precursor-tRNAs. Lineage: Bacteria; Pseudomonadati; Spirochaetota. The record is from RNAcentral.
AGAGUAAUUCAGGUGUUCGGGCACAGGGGUCAGGUCUCAACAUUUGACAUUGUUGUUGAUUUAAAUAUAUCAGGUCUAUUUUUAUGUCAAAUGUUGAGACCUGACCCCUGUGCCAGGAAAGUCCGAACUCCUGCAGGCAGGAUGCCGGGUAACACCCGGAAGAGGCGACUCUUGGAAAGUGCCGCAGAAAUUAUACCGCCAGGCCUUUUCGUUGAAAGGGCAGGGUAAGGGUGAAAUCGUGGGGUAAGAGCCCACGCGUCAGGCUGGCAACAUCCUGAUGAGGUAAACCCCAUCCGGAGCAAGACUGAAUAGAGGGGCGGGUUGCCUGUCCUAUAUGCCCCCGGGUAAGUCGCAUGAAGGGCUCAGUAAUGGGCUCUCAAGAUUAAUGAACACCUAAACAGAAUUCGGCUUAUGAAUUACUCUCCCU